UACAGAGGGGGCAAGCGUUGUUCGGAAUUACUGGGCGUAAAGGGCGCGUAGGCGGCCUGUUAAGUCGAACGUGAAAUCCCCGGGCUCAACCCGGGAACUGCGUCCGAUACUGGCAGGCUUGAAUCCGGGAGAGGGAUGCGGAAUUCCAGGUGUAGCGGUGAAAUGCGUAGAUAUCGUUUGGAACGCCAAUGGAGAAAUCAGGUUGCUGGGAGUGUGCUGACGCUGAGACACGAAAGCCAGGGGAGCGAACGGG
RNAcentral lists this ribosomal RNA (253 nucleotides) under uncultured bacterium. RNAcentral's name for it is "partial 16S ribosomal RNA". It matches the Rfam family "Bacterial small subunit ribosomal RNA", at positions 524 to 776 of the family's 1533-position model. The record is from RNAcentral.